This is a long non-coding RNA of Equus caballus (horse), 2407 nucleotides long. The record is from Ensembl. NCBI's taxonomy places the organism in Eukaryota, Metazoa, Chordata, Mammalia, Perissodactyla, Equidae.
GUAGUUCCCUCGCAGGAGCGGCCGCCUGUGCAGGAGACCAGGCUGUGAGGAAGAAAGGAGUGGCUGAUGUCCUGUGAGACGUCUUCUCAGGACUGAAGCCCAACCUUACAGUUAGGAGUUUUUAAACUUCCCACAGUGAGGCCAGGAGCUAAAGUGAUGGAAAUAUGCAAAUCAAUGAGUUGAUGGCGUUAUUGGUAUUUUUUCUGACGAAGGUAAAACCACCCUCCGUUCUCCCCUUCGGCCCUGCCUGUCUGCCACCUUCUCCUACCUGCUCCCCGUCGUCUCUCGCUUUAGUCCUUUUUCCUGGCUCUCUAGAGCCAGACUGCCUGCCUUCAUAUUCGUCUCCGCCACUGAGUGAUUGCAUGACUAAGGAAAUGGCUAACUUGUGUACCUCUCUCCUUUUUUCUUUUUUUUUGGUGAGGAAGAUUGGCCCUGAGCUAACAUCUGUGCCAGUGUUCCUCUAUUUUGUAUGUGGGACACCUCCACAGCGUGGCUGCCAAGGAGUGGUGCUAGGUUGGCACCUGGGAUCAGAACCGUGAACCCCGGGCCACCUAAACCGUGAGCAGGAACUUAACCAUUAUGCCACCUGGCCGGCCCCCUGCACCUCAGUUUUUUUUAUCUGUAAACUAGGGAUGGAAUAGUACCCGCCUCAUAGGAUUAUUUGAAGACAAAGUGAGUUUAUAGUAAGGUGUAUGUAAGAGUGCCUUUCACAUGGUAAAUGCUCAAACGUUAGCUUUGAUACCCUUCUCCCAACGUCGCUCUCCAAAACAGAGAGUGCCCGUGUAACCUCCGGAAGUGUUUGUUGAAUGACCUCCCAUCAUCAGGAUGCGUAACAAAGUGGCAAUCCAGCAUCCUCCAGGUGUUCUUCUAGUUGUGGUAUGUGGGACGCUGCCUCAGCAUGGUCUGACGAGCAGUGCCAUGUCCGUGCCCAGGAUUCGAACCAACGAAACACUGGGAUGCCUGCAGCGGAGCGCGCGAACUUAACCACUCAGCCGCGGGGCCAGCCCCCUUUAGUGACCAUUUUUAAAGUGAUAACUCUAGUAUUUAAAAGGUACCCGUAUGUCCAUAGUGAUAUUGUGAAGUGUACACAUACCAACUCACAGAUUUGUUUUUCAAGCAAUGCUAGGACUUAGUAGGAGAAAGUAAUGUUCCAGUUCUUUACUGGAGAGAGAAGCUGGUAUUUGAGAGAGUGAAGAGGGAUGGGCAAAACCACAAUGAGAUACCACUUCACAUCCACAAGGAUGGCUAUAAUCAAAAAAGUAGAAAAUAACAAGUGUUAAUGGGGAUAUGGAGAAAUUGGCACUCUCAUCCAUUGCUGGCAGAAAUGUAAGAUGGUGCCUCCACUGUAGAAGAUAGUUUGGCAGUCUGAAAAACUUAAACAUAGAAUUACCUUAUGACCCAGUAAUUCCACUGCUAGCUGUACACCUUGUAUGUGAAUGUUCACAGCGGUACUAUUCACAAUAACAGGAAGGUGGAAAGCACCCAAACGUCCAUCAACAGAUGAAUGGAUAAACAAAAUGUGGUAUGACCAUACAAUGGAAUAUUAUUUAUCAAUAGAAAGAAAUGAAAUGCUAUCCAUGCUGCAAUAUGAAUGAACCUUGGAAACAUUAUACUAAGUGAAAGAAACCAGUCACAAAAAGACCUCAUAUUGUAUGAUUACAUUUAUUUGAAAUAUUUAGAAUAGGCAAGUCUAUGGAGACUAGACUCGCAGUUGCUUGGAGCUGAGACGCACGGGAGAGGGGUAUAGAUGAGUGACGGCUAAAGAGUGUGGGGUUUCUUUUUCAGCUGAUAAAGAUGUUCUAAAACUGAUGAUGAUUGCACAUAUCUGGAAUAUACUAAAAACUAUUGAACUGGUCACUUUAAAUGGAUGAAUUGUAAAUCAGUGAAUUAUGUCUCCAUAAAGCUGUUAAAAGAUUUUAAAAAGAGUGAUGGGAAACAUUCUUUUCAAGUCCUGUAAAUAUAUACAUGUAGUUAUAUAGACAUACUGCAAUGUUAUUAGGGAAAAGUAAUAAGCAAUAUGGCUUAAAUUUAUUUUUAAUAAUCUGUAAUUAAAAAUACGUAAAAUACAGGGCUGGCCCAGUAGCGUGGCGGUUAAGUUCUCACAAUUUGCUUCUGCGCUGGGCUUUGCCAGUGCAAAUCCUGGGCGUGGACCUACGCACCACUUAUAAAGCCAUGCUUUGGCAAGCAUCCCACAUAUAAAAGUAGAGAAAGAUGGGCAUGGAUGUUAGCUCAGGGCCAAUCUUCCUAAAAAAAAAAAAAAGUAAGGUACUUUAACUACAGAUUUGAUCAUCUUCAACAAACGUUUCCAUGCCUCUUUUAUGCCUGAUGAUGUAAUUUGUGCUGUAAAGGACACAACCGUUUUCGUAUUCAUUCAGCAAAUAUUUAUUGAGCGCCUACCAUGUUACAG